GGUUAAGCGACUAAGCGUACACGGUGGAUGCCCUGGCAGUCAGAGGCGAUGAAGGACGUGCUAAUCUGCGAUAAGCGUCGGUAAGGUGAUAUGAACCGUUAUAACCGGCGAUUUCCGAAUGGGGAAACCCAGUGUGAUUCGUCACACUAUCAUUAACUGAAUCCAUAGGUUAAUGAGGCGAACCGGGGGAACUGAAACAUCUAAGUACCCCGAGGAAAAGAAAUCAACCGAGAUUCCCCCAGUAGCGGCGAGCGAACGGGGAGCAGCCCAGAGCCUGAAUCAGUGUGUGUGUUAGUGGAAGCGUCUGGAAAGGCGUGCGAUACAGGGUGACAGCCCCGUACACAAAAAUGCACAUACUGUGAGCUCGAUGAGUAGGGCGGGACACGUGGUAUCCUGUCUGAAUAUGGGGGGACCAUCCUCCAAGGCUAAAUACUCCUGACUGACCGAUAGUGAACCAGUACCGUGAGGGAAAGGCGAAAAGAACCCCGGCGAGGGGAGUGAAAAAGAACCUGAAACCGUGUACGUACAAGCAGUGGGAGCACGCUUAGGCGUGUGACUGCGUACCUUUUGUAUAAUGGGUCAGCGACUUAUAUUCUGUAGCAAGGUUAACCGAAUAGGGGAGCCGAAGGGAAACCGAGUCUUAACUGGGCGUUAAGUUGCAGGGUAUAGACCCGAAACCCGGUGAUCUCAGCCAUGGGCAGGUUGAAGGUUGGGUAACACUAACUGGAGGACCGAACCGACUAAUGUUGAAAAAUUAGCGGAUGACUUGUGGCUGGGGGUGAAAGGCCAAUCAAACCGGGAGAUAGCUGGUUCUCCCCGAAAGCUAUUUAGGUAGCGCCUCGUGAAUUCAUCUCCGGGGGUAGAGCACUGUUUCGGCAAGGGGGUCAUCCCGACUUACCAACCCGAUGCAAACUGCGAAUACCGGAGAAUGUUAUCACGGGAGGCACACGGCGGGUGCUAACGUCCGUCGUGAAGAGGGAAACAACCCAGACCGCCAGCUAAGGUCCCAAAGUCAUGGUUAAGUGGGAAACGAUGUGGGAAGGCCCAGACAGCCAGGAUGUUGGCUUAGAAGCAGCCAUCAUUUAAAGAAAGCGUAAUAGCUCACUGGUCGAGUCGGCCUGCGCGGAAGAUGUAACGGGGCUAAACCAUGCACCGAAGCUGCGGCAGCGACGCUUAUGCGUUGUUGGGUAGGGGAGCGUUCUGUAAGCCUGUGAAGGUGUACUGUGAGGUAUGCUGGAGGUAUCAGAAGUGCGAAUGCUGACAUAAGUAACGAUAAAGCGGGUGAAAAGCCCGCUCGCCGGAAGACCAAGGGUUCCUGUCCAACGUUAAUCGGGGCAGGGUGAGUCGACCCCUAAGGCGAGGCCGAAAGGCGUAGUCGAUGGGAAACAGGUUAAUAUUCCUGUACUUGGUGUUACUGCGAAGGGGGGACGGAGAAGGCUAUGUUGGCCGGGCGACGGUUGUCCCGGUUUAAGCGUGUAGGCUGGUUUUCCAGGCAAAUCCGGAAAAUCAAGGCCGAGGCGUGAUGACGAGGCACUACGGUGCUGAAGCAACAAAUGCCCUGCUUCCAGGAAAAGCCUCUAAGCAUCAGGUAACAUCAAAUCGUACCCCAAACCGACACAGGUGGUCAGGUAGAGAAUACCAAGGCGCUUGAGAGAACUCGGGUGAAGGAACUAGGCAAAAUGGUGCCGUAACUUCGGGAGAAGGCACGCUGAUACGUAGGUGAAGCGACUUGCUCGUGGAGCUGAAAUCAGUCGAAGAUACCAGCUGGCUGCAACUGUUUAUUAAAAACACAGCACUGUGCAAACACGAAAGUGGACGUAUACGGUGUGACGCCUGCCCGGUGCCGGAAGGUUAAUUGAUGGGGUUAGCGCAAGCGAAGCUCUUGAUCGAAGCCCCGGUAAACGGCGGCCGUAACUAUAACGGUCCUAAGGUAGCGAAAUUCCUUGUCGGGUAAGUUCCGACCUGCACGAAUGGCGUAAUGAUGGCCAGGCUGUCUCCACCCGAGACUCAGUGAAAUUGAACUCGCUGUGAAGAUGCAGUGUACCCGCGGCAAGACGGAAAGACCCCGUGAACCUUUACUAUAGCUUGACACUGAACAUUGAGCCUUGAUGUGUAGGAUAGGUGGGAGGCUUUGAAGUGUGGACGCCAGUCUGCAUGGAGCCGACCUUGAAAUACCACCCUUUAAUGUUUGAUGUUCUAACGUGGACCCGUAAUCCGGGUUGCGGACAGUGUCUGGUGGGUAGUUUGACUGGGGCGGUCUCCUCCUAAAGAGUAACGGAGGAGCACGAAGGUUGGCUAAUCCUGGUCGGACAUCAGGAGGUUAGUGCAAUGGCAUAAGCCAGCUUGACUGCGAGCGUGACGGCGCGAGCAGGUGCGAAAGCAGGUCAUAGUGAUCCGGUGGUUCUGAAUGGAAGGGCCAUCGCUCAACGGAUAAAAGGUACUCCGGGGAUAACAGGCUGAUACCGCCCAAGAGUUCAUAUCGACGGCGGUGUUUGGCACCUCGAUGUCGGCUCAUCACAUCCUGGGGCUGAAGUAGGUCCCAAGGGUAUGGCUGUUCGCCAUUUAAAGUGGUACGCGAGCUGGGUUUAGAACGUCGUGAGACAGUUCGGUCCCUAUCUGCCGUGGGCGCUGGAGAACUGAGGGGGGCUGCUCCUAGUACGAGAGGACCGGAGUGGACGCAUCACUGGUGUUCGGGUUGUCAUGCCAAUGGCACUGCCCGGUAGCUAAAUGCGGAAGAGAUAAGUGCUGAAAGCAUCUAAGCACGAAACUUGCCCCGAGAUGAGUUCUCCCUGACCCUUUAAGGGUCCUGAAGGAACGUUGAAGACGACGACGUUGAUAGGCCGGGUGUGUAAGCGCAGCGAUGCGUUGAGCUAACCGGUACUAAUGAACCGUGAGGCUUAACCUU
RNAcentral lists this ribosomal RNA (2905 nucleotides) under Shigella flexneri 3a. RNAcentral's name for it is "23S ribosomal RNA". It matches the Rfam family "Bacterial large subunit ribosomal RNA". The record is from RNAcentral. Lineage: Bacteria; Pseudomonadati; Pseudomonadota; Gammaproteobacteria; Enterobacterales; Enterobacteriaceae.